UGGGGAAUAUUGCACAAUGGGCGCAAGCCUGAUGCAGCCAUGCCGCGUGUGUGAAGAAGGCCUUCGGGUUGUAACGCACUUUCAGCGGGGAGGAAGGCGUUAAGGUUAAUAACCUUGGCGAUUGACGUUACCCGCAGAAGAAGCACCGGCUAACUCCGUGCCAGCAGCCGCGGUAAUACGGAGGGUGCAAGCGUUAAUCGGAAUUACUGGGCGUAAAGCGCACGCAGGCGGUCUGUCAAGUCGGAUGUGAAAUCCCCGGGCUCAACCUGGGAACUGCAUUCGAAACUGGCAGGCUAGAGUCUUGUAGAGGGGGGUAGAAUUCCAGGUGUAGCGGUGAAAUGCAUGGAGAUCUGGAGGAAUACCGGUGGCGAAGGCGGCCCCCUGGACAAAGACUGACGCUCAGGUGCGAAAGCGUGGGGAGCAAACAGG
Molecule: ribosomal RNA, 429 nt
Filed under: Chloroflexota bacterium
Lineage: Bacteria; Bacillati; Chloroflexota
Description: Chloroflexi bacterium partial 16S ribosomal RNA
Rfam family: Bacterial small subunit ribosomal RNA
Source: RNAcentral